UAGGGAAUAUUGGUCAAUGGACGCAAGUCUGAACCAGCCAUGCCGCGUGCAGGAAGACGGCCCUCUGGGUUGUAAACUGCUUUUAUAUGGGAAGAAACCUUCGGAUGCGUUCGAAGCUGACGGUACCAUAUGAAUAAGGAUCGGCUAACUUCGUGCCAGCAGCCGCGGUAAGACGAAGGAUCCAAGCGUUGUCCGGAUUUACUGGGUUUAAAGGGUGCGUAGGCGGAAAAUUAAGUCAGUGGUGAAAGCCCGCAGCUCAACUGCGGAACUGCCAUUGAAACUGAUUUUCUUGAAUACGGUUGAGGUAGAUGGAAUAUAACAUGUAGCGGUGAAAUGCUUAGAUAUGUUAUAGAACACCAAUUGCGAAGGCAGUCUACUAAGCCGUGAUUGACGCUGAGGCACGAAAGCGUGGGGAGCGAACAGG
This 424-nucleotide ribosomal RNA is filed under the name uncultured Sphingobacteriales bacterium. Its description in RNAcentral is "bacterial SSU rRNA". It matches the Rfam family "Bacterial small subunit ribosomal RNA", at positions 355 to 776 of the family's 1533-position model. The record is from RNAcentral. Lineage: Bacteria; Pseudomonadati; Bacteroidota; Sphingobacteriia; Sphingobacteriales.